CGAUGUCGGCUCAUCACAUCCUGGGGCUGAAGUAGGUCCCAAGGGUAUGGCUGUUCGCCAUUUAAAGUGGUACGCGAGCUGGGUUUAGAACGUCGUGAGACAGUUCGGUCCCUAUCUGCCGUGGGCGCUGGAGAACUGAGGGGGGCUGCUCCUAGUACGAGAGGACCGGAGUGGACGCAUCACUGGUGUUCGGGUUGUCAUGCCAAUGGCACUGCCCGGUAGCUAAAUGCGGAAGAGAUAAGUGCUGAAAGCAUCUAAGCACGAAACUUGCCCCGAGAUGAGUUCUCCCUGACCCUUUAAGGGUCCUGAAGGAACGUUGAAGACGACGACGUUGAUAGGCCGGGUGUGUAAGCGCAGCGAUGCGUUGAGCUAACCGGUACUAAUGAACCGUGAGGCUUAACCUUACAACGCCGAAG
Molecule: ribosomal RNA, 416 nt
Filed under: Escherichia coli
Lineage: Bacteria; Pseudomonadati; Pseudomonadota; Gammaproteobacteria; Enterobacterales; Enterobacteriaceae
Description: partial 23S ribosomal RNA
Rfam family: Bacterial large subunit ribosomal RNA
Source: RNAcentral